UCCUACGGGAGGCAGCAGUAGGGAAUCUUCCACAAUGGACGAAGGUCUGAUGGAGCAACGCCGCGUGAGUGAAGAAGGGUUUCGGCUUGUAAAACUCUGUUGUUAAAGAAGAACAUAUCUGAGAGUAACUGUUCAGGUAUUGACGGUAUUUAACCAGAAAGCCACGGCUAACUACGUGCCAGCAGCCGCGGUAAU
RNAcentral lists this ribosomal RNA (195 nucleotides) under uncultured Lactobacillus sp. Its description in RNAcentral is "partial 16S ribosomal RNA". It matches the Rfam family "Bacterial small subunit ribosomal RNA", at positions 337 to 524 of the family's 1533-position model. The record is from RNAcentral. Lineage: Bacteria; Bacillati; Bacillota; Bacilli; Lactobacillales; Lactobacillaceae.